AAUCUCUAAGCCCAUUUGGGGUUUGUGUCUGGGCGCUCGCCUCCUAGGCGUCGCCUCAAAGCCAUCUGUCUUAUGAGCGGACGAGAUCCUUUUGGACUGACCGUUUGUGAGACCUAAAAUCUCUG
Molecule: unclassified non-coding RNA, 125 nt
Filed under: uncultured Archaeorhizomyces
Lineage: Eukaryota; Fungi; Ascomycota; Archaeorhizomycetes; Archaeorhizomycetales; Archaeorhizomycetaceae
Description: sequence contains ITS2
Source: RNAcentral